AACGAACGCUGGCGGCAUGCCUAACACAUGCAAGUCGAACGAGACCUUCGGGUCUAGUGGCGCACGGGUGCGUAACGCGUGGGAACCUGCCCUUAGGUUCGGAAUAACUCCCCGAAAGGGGUGCUAAUACCGGAUAAUGUCUUCGGACCAAAGAUUUAUCGCCUUUGGAUGGGCCCGCGUUGGAUUAGCUAGUUGGUAGGGUAAAAGCCUACCAAGGCGACGAUCCAUAGCUGGUCUGAGAGGAUGAUCAGCCACACUGGGACUGAGACACGGCCCAGACUCCUACGGGAAGCAGCAGUGGGGAAUAUUGGACAAGGGGCGAAAGCCUGAUCCAGCAAUGCCGCGUGAGUGAUGAAGGCCUUAGGGUUGUAAAGCUCUUUUACCCGGGAUGAUAAUGACAGUACCGGGAGAAUAAGCUCCGGCUAACUCCGUG
RNAcentral lists this ribosomal RNA (433 nucleotides) under uncultured bacterium. RNAcentral describes it as "partial 16S ribosomal RNA". It matches the Rfam family "Bacterial small subunit ribosomal RNA", at positions 29 to 507 of the family's 1533-position model. The record is from RNAcentral.